GCGCAAUUGGGCCUGGAAAUUCAUAACUUAUCCCCGAAUUAGCACUUAGCAGAAACUCCCUUUCAAACUGUAAAGAGAUUUGAUGCCCAGGAAUCGAUUUGACGAAAGAAGAAAAAUGCCUUGGUCUUUUUGUUCUCUCUUCUUUUUCCACAGUGAAGAGGAAAGAAAAAUGCCCAGGAUUAUCUUGUGGACAGCAAAGUUGAUUUCAUGUGCUUUGUUGUCUGCUUAUUUUCAAAUCCCUUGGAAACAAAGUCAGAACCUGAAAUCACUAUCCUUAAACAUGCAAUUCCCAAUGUUGCAAGUCAUUUUCAGCUUCAUAGUUUUCGGUAUCAGCCUCCCUUUCCCCUUCUCUGUCAUCAUGGACGCUUCCAUUUUCUUCUUCCUCAUCUUCAUCUACUUCUACUUCAUCUUCCUCGUACUCCCCUUCUUCUAGUUCCUGGAUGUCAUCCAAGAAAAUAAUUAAGCAUGCUGCAUAUAUAU
Molecule: long non-coding RNA, 480 nt
Filed under: Citrus maxima (pomelo)
Lineage: Eukaryota; Viridiplantae; Streptophyta; Magnoliopsida; Sapindales; Rutaceae
Description: long non-coding RNA (CMAX_LNC004071)
Source: RNAcentral